UACAGAGGUCUCAAGCGUUGUUCGGAUUCAUUGGGCGUAAAGCGCACGCAGGUGGCUGAGUCAGUCGAUUGUGAAAGCCCUGGGCUUAACCUGGGAAUUGCAUUGGAGACUGCAAGGCUAGAAUCUGGCAGAGGGGGGUAGAAUUCCACGUGUAGCAGUGAAAUGCGUAGAGAUGUGGAGGAACACCGAUGGCGAAGGCAGCCCCCUGGGUCAAGAUUGACGCUCAUGCACGAAAGCGUGGGGAGCAAACAGG
This 253-nucleotide ribosomal RNA is filed under the name uncultured bacterium. RNAcentral describes it as "partial 16S ribosomal RNA". It matches the Rfam family "Bacterial small subunit ribosomal RNA", at positions 524 to 776 of the family's 1533-position model. The record is from RNAcentral.